Molecule: long non-coding RNA, 1715 nt
Organism: Daktulosphaira vitifoliae (grape phylloxera)
Lineage: Eukaryota; Metazoa; Arthropoda; Insecta; Hemiptera; Phylloxeridae
Exons: 2
Source: RefSeq, a predicted model, not a curated record
AAACGGUAGCACAGUGGGGUCACGGCAUAGUGGAGACAUUGCAUAGUUGGAUCCAGUAUAGAUUUAAUCUGAAAGUGAUUAAAAUCACUAUCAUAAGAAACGCUUCGAUGCAAAUCUGUAGAUAGUGUUUAAUUUUAAAAAAUUGAUGAAUAAUUGCAAAAUCAACAUCAACUUCUAUUAAAAUAAAAUACAAAACCCAUAAUUUUAAUACAAAAAUAGCAUAUUUUUGAAUACGGCAGUCAUUUGCGUAUAGAAGAUAGAUCGUCGGGACAAAUUUUUUUUUUUCAUUUUGUAGUACAUAAAAUAAGCUUUAAUUUUAUAUAUGUUUAAAGGACGCAGUAUUUCCGGAACAUUUUCAAAAAUUAAGUUGAAAAAGUUAUUUUUUGUAAAAAAGUUACUAUUUUAAAUCCUCCCAGUGAGCAGAAUAAGUGUUAGAUUUUCAAAAAAAAUUAUAUCAAAUGAAAGGGAAAUAUCUAAGGUUUCAAUACAAAAAAAUAUUAUUUUUAUUUGUUCAUUUUUGAAAAAGUUAUGGCAGUUUUAAGUACAAAAAACAUCCCGAUAAAAUGUAAUUUUUAUCGCAAACAUUACAUUUUUUUUUAAAUUUUCGACAGCCAUUUGCACAUAGAAGAUAAGAUGUCGGGACAAAUUUUUUUUUUUCAUUUGAUAGUAUAUAACAUAACCUUUGAUUUGAUAUAUGUUUAAAGGACGCAGUAUUUCCGGAACAUUUUCAAAAGUUCAGUUGAAAAAGAUCUAUGUUUUUUACAAUAUUUUAAGUUUUGAACGCCCCCUAUAUAAGGGGAAAUUGUCCAAUUUUAAUAAAAAGUAUGUCAAAUGAAAGAUGUACUUAUAAUGUAUUUAGAAAAAAAAAAUUUGUGCUGAUAUAUACAUUUUUCAAAAAGUUAUAGCAUUUUUAAGUUGAAAAUUUAAAAUCGAAAAUCGAAAAUUUUAACACAAAAAUAGUGUUUUUUUAACUACGGCAGCCGUUUAAAUGUAGAAAAAAAAGUGUCGGGACAAAUUUUUUUUUUUCAUUUUGUAGUACAUAAAAUAAGCUUUAAUUUGAUAUAUGUUUAAAGGACGCAGUCUUUCCGGAACAUUUUCAAAAAUUAAGUUGAAAAAAUUAAUUUUUGUAAAAAAGUUGCCAUUUUAAAUCCCCCCCAAUGAGCAGGUUAAGUGAUAGAUUUUCAAAAAAAUAAUAUCAAAUGAAAGGUAAAUAUCUAAGGUUUUAGUAUAAAAAAAAAUUAUGUUGAUUUGUUGAUUUUUCAAAAAGUUAUGGAAGUUUUAAGAAAAAAAAGUGAAAAAAUUUCGAAAAUUAGCGAUUUUUAAAUUUGUAAUUUUUUUGGAUAUUUCCCCCAUUUGCGGGGAACGAGGGAAUUUUUUUCAAUUUUUAAGGGUAAUGUCUUCAACUAGAUACGAUUUGUGAUCUUUUGACGUAUUUUUGAAAGAAAUCGGUCCAGUGAGAGCUGAGAAAAAGUGGCAACAGACAUAAAAAAAAAAAAAAAAAAACACAUCAUAGUAAAAUUAAUACCUUCUCCGCUUCGCAUCGAAGCUAAAAAAGUUACAAAAUUUUUCUUCAGUGAAUUAAAUUUGAACUUAAAUUUGAUGUGUCCAAAAGUGUUUUACAAGCCACUGUGCCAUGGGUUAUAUCAUAUAUUACUAAAAUAUCAAAUUUAUUAGAGUUAUAAUUUAGUUUAAUUCUUUUGAAAAAAAAAAUCAAA